AUUGCUUCUCAGCCUUUUGGCUAAGAUCAAGUAUAGUAUCUGUUCUUAUCAGUUUAAAGACUCUGUAUGUGUGUGUGUAUGUGUGUGUUUUUAAGACAGGGUCUCACUCUGUCACCAGGCUGGAGUGCAGUGACAAAAUCUCAGCUCACUUCAGCCUUGACUUC
Small nuclear RNA from Cercocebus atys (sooty mangabey), 164 nucleotides. Its record names the gene U2. It matches the Rfam family "U2 spliceosomal RNA". Rfam says of the family: U2 is a small nuclear RNA (snRNA) component of the spliceosome (involved in pre-mRNA splicing). Complementary binding between U2 snRNA (in an area lying towards the 5' end but 3' to hairpin I) and the branchpoint sequence (BPS) of the intron results the bulging out of an unpaired adenosine, on the BPS, which initiates a nucleophilic attack at the intronic 5' splice site, thus starting the first of two transesterification reactions that mediate splicing. The record is from Ensembl. NCBI's taxonomy places the organism in Eukaryota, Metazoa, Chordata, Mammalia, Primates, Cercopithecidae.